UGGGGAAUCUUGCGCAAUGGGCGAAAGCCUGACGCAGCGACGCCGCGUGGGGGAUGAAGCUUCUCGGAGUGUAAACCCCUUUCGACCCGGACGCGGUACGGGUAUAAGAAGCCCCGGCUAACUACGUGCCAGCAGCCCGGUAAAACCGGUUACUCCUACGG
RNAcentral lists this ribosomal RNA (161 nucleotides) under uncultured bacterium. RNAcentral describes it as "partial 16S ribosomal RNA". It matches the Rfam family "Bacterial small subunit ribosomal RNA", at positions 355 to 535 of the family's 1533-position model. The record is from RNAcentral.